This 1319-nucleotide ribosomal RNA is filed under the name Hyphodiscus hymeniophilus. RNAcentral's name for it is "eukaryotic LSU rRNA". It matches the Rfam family "Eukaryotic large subunit ribosomal RNA", at positions 1 to 972 of the family's 3401-position model. Lineage: Eukaryota; Fungi; Ascomycota; Leotiomycetes; Helotiales; Hyphodiscaceae. The record is from RNAcentral.
UGACCUCGGAUCAGGUAGGGAUACCCGCUGAACUUAAGCAUAUCAAUAAGCGGAGGAAAAGAAACCAACAGGGAUUGCCUCAGUAACGGCGAGUGAAGCGGCAACAGCUCAAAUUUGAAAUCUGGCUCUUUUAGGGUCCGAGUUGUAAUUUGUAGAAGAUGCUUUGGGAAUGGUUCCGGUCUAAGUUCCUUGGAACAGGACGUCAUAGAGGGUGAGAAUCCCGUAUGCGACUGGUCGCCUGCCCCGUGUAAAGCUCUUUCGACGAGUCGAGUUGUUUGGGAAUGCAGCUCAAAAUGGGUGGUAUAUUUCAUCUAAAGCUAAAUAUUGGCCAGAGACCGAUAGCGCACAAGUAGAGUGAUCGAAAGAUGAAAAGCACUUUGGAAAGAGAGUUAAACAGUACGUGAAAUUGUUGAAAGGGAAGCGCUUGCAACCAGACUUGCACGUAGUCAAUCAUCUGGUGUUCUCACCGGUGCACUUGGCUAUGUUCAGGCCAGCAUCGGUUCAGGUGGUGGGAUAAAGGCCUUGGGAAUGUAGCUUCUUUCGGGAAGUGUUAUAGCCCUCGGUGCAAUGCCGCCUACCUGGACCGAGGACCGCGCUUCGGCUAGGAUGCUGGCGUAAUGGUUGUAAGCGACCCGUCUUGAAACACGGACCAAGGAGUCUAACAUCUAUGCGAGUGUUUGGGUGUCAAACCCAUACGCGUAAUGAAAGUGAACGGAGGUGAGAACCCUUAAGGGUGCAUCAUCGACCGAUCCUGAUGUCUUCGGAUGGAUUUGAGUAAGAGCAUAGCUGUUGGGACCCGAAAGAUGGUGAACUAUGCCUGAAUAGGGUGAAGCCAGAGGAAACUCUGGUGGAGGCUCGCAGCGGUUCUGACGUGCAAAUCGAUCGUCAAAUUUGGGUAUAGGGGCGAAAGACUAAUCGAACCAUCAGACUUGCUACUAGGUGGUUGAGAGACGCGCGAAAAGCGUGGAUCUAGCUCUGUGCAGUGAGCAACAUUAUCAAAUUGCGGGGACCUCCUGUCAACAUUCAAUGCUACCGCUGCUCCGUCGAAAGUCGAGCUGGCACCGGGUUAAUGACCCUGGGUAUGGUAAUAACGCAUUGCAUAUACGGAAAAUCCGCAGCAAACUCCCUACGGGUGCGUCCUACGGGGUCUGUCCACAGACUAAAUGAUAAUGGGUACCGUCAAAUACGGUGCUUAAGAUAUAGUCGAUCCCCCGGGAGACCGGGCCUUGGGAUUCCCAAGGGAGACACGAGUGUCUUGGGGAAGCACCUCUUACGAGGCCGCUUCAAAUGCUAGUAGCUGGUUCCUGCCGAAGUUUCCC